AGGGCACAGGGCGGAUGCCUUGGCACUAAGAGCCGAUGAAAGACGUGAUAAGCUGCGAUAAGCUUCGGGGAGGAGCAAAUAUCCCGUGAUCCGGAGAUGUCUGAAUGGGGAAACCCACAUGAGCAAACCUCAUGUAUCCAUACGCCAAUCCAUAACGUAUGGAAGGGAACCCGGGGAACUGAAACAUCUAAGUACCCGGAGGAAAAGAAAGAAAACUCGAUUCCGUAAGUAGCGGCGAGCGAACGCGGAGGAGCCUAAACCGGAAUGCGUGCAUUCCGGGGUUACGGACUGCAUUUAAGAUUCUCUGAAGCUAACAGAACGGUUUUGGGAAAGCCGGCCGGAGAGGGUGAAAGCCCCGUACGUGAAAGCUGAUGAGACUGAGCAGGAUCCAGAGUACCACGAGACACGUGGAACCUUGUGGGAAAUCAGGGGGACCACCCCCUAAGGCUAAAUACUACUUAGUGACCGAUAGCGCAUAGUACUGUGAAGGAAAGGUGAAAAGGACCCCGGGAGGGGAGUGAAAGAGAACCUGAAACCCUGUGUCUACAAGCUGUGGAAGCACUUUAUAUGUGCGACCGCGUACUUUUUGUAGAACGGUCCGGCGAGUUACGCUUACUGGCAAGGUUAAGCACUUCAGGUGUGGAGCCGUAGGGAAACCAAGUCUUAAGAGGGCCAGAGUCAGUAGGAGUAGACCCGAAACCGGGUGAUCUAUCCAUGUCCAGGUUGAAGCUGCCGUAAGAGGUAGUGGAGGACCGAACCCACAUCCGUUGAAAAGGGUGGGGAUGAGGUGUGGAUAGGGGAGAAAUUCCAAUCGAACCCGGAGAUAGCUGGUUCUCCUCGAAAUAGCUUUAGGGCUAGCCUCGAUACAGAUUUGCGGAGGUAGAGCACUGAAUUUCCUAGGGGGCGUCAAAGCCUACCGAAGAAUAUCAAACUCCGAAUGCCGCGUAAUCGAUUAUCGGGAGUCAGACUGCACGAGAUAAGUUGGGCGGUCAAAAGGGAAAGAGCCCAGACCUUCAGUUAAGGUCCCCAAGUGCGCGUUAAGUGGAAAAGGAUGUGGGAUUUCGAAGACAACCAGGAUGUUGGCUCAGAAGCAGCCAUCCAUUCAAAGAGUGCGUAAUAGCUCACUGGUCGAGAGGUCCUGCGCCGAAAAUGUCCGGGGCUGAAACGCGCCACCGAAACUAAGGAACCGAAAGGUUGGUAGAGGAGCAUUGCAUGCGGGAAGAAGCAGUACCGUAAGGAGCUGUGGACUGCAUGGAAGAGAGAAUGCCGGAAUGAGUAGCGAGAAUAAGGUGGGAAUCCUUAUGGCCGAAUAUCCAAGGUUUCCAGAGUAAAGCUGAUCUGCUCUGGGUAAGUCGGGGCCUAAGGCGAGGACGAGAGUCGUAGCCGAUGGACAACAGGUGGAGAUUCCUGUACUGCGGUAUGACAGAACUGUGGGGACACGUAAGGAAAGCGGAAGCCGGGAAUGGAAAGCCCGGUGCAAGCGGGGUACCAGUCACUUUGGCAAAUCCGGGUGGCAAUGGGAAGCCGUGAUGCGGAGCGAAAUAAAGUAGCGAAGUCCGUGAGCCAUGCGUCAAGAAAAGCCGCUAUUGUUUAUACCGUACCCGUACCGUAAACCGACACAGGUGGAUGAGGAGAGAAUCCUAAGGCCGGCGGAAGAAGCAUUGUCAAGGAACUCGGCAAAAUGGCCCCGUAACUUAGGGAUAAGGGGUGCCUGGGAAACCAGGCCGCAGAGAAUAGGCUCAAGCAACUGUUUAGCAAAAACACAGGUCUAUGCGAAACCGAAAGGUGAGGUAUAUGGGCUGACGCCUGCCCGGUGCUGGAAGGUUAAGAGGAGAGGUUAGCGGUAACGCGAAGCUUUGAAUUUAAGCCCCAGUAAACGGCGGCCGUAACUAUAACGGUCCUAAGGUAGCGAAAUUCCUUGUCGGGUAAGUUCCGACCCGCACGAAAGGCGUAAUGAUUUGGGCACUGUCUCAACAAUGCACCCGGUGAAAUUGAAAUACCAGUGAAGAUGCUGGUUACCUGCGCCAGGACGGAAAGACCCCAUGGAGCUUUACUCCAGCUUGAUACUGGGAUUCGGUAUUGCAUGUACAGGAUAGGUGGGAGGCUAGGAAGUGAUAACGCCAGUUGUCACGGAGCCGCUGUUGGGAUACCACCCUUGCAGUAUUGGAUUUCUAACCAGCGACCAUGAACUGGUCGGGGGACAAUGUCAGGUGGGGAGUUUGACUGGGGCGGUCGCCUCCGAAAGGGUAUCGGAGGCGCUCAAAGGUUCCCUCAGAAUGGACGGAAACCAUUCGAAGAGUGCAAAGGCAGAAGGGAGCUUGACUGCGACACCGACGGGUGGAGCAGGUACGAAAGUAGGACUUAGUGAUCCGGUGGUAUAAAGUGGGAUUGCCAUCGCUCAACGGAUAA
RNAcentral lists this ribosomal RNA (2409 nucleotides) under metagenome. RNAcentral describes it as "bacterial LSU rRNA". It matches the Rfam family "Bacterial large subunit ribosomal RNA", at positions 14 to 2459 of the family's 2925-position model. The record is from RNAcentral.